Molecule: long non-coding RNA, 678 nt
Organism: Eubalaena glacialis (North Atlantic right whale)
Lineage: Eukaryota; Metazoa; Chordata; Mammalia; Artiodactyla; Balaenidae
Exons: 5
Source: RefSeq, a predicted model, not a curated record
AGCCCAAGUGGCUGUUUUGGUCAAUAGACUUCCCGGACCUGAAGUGUGUUGCUUCUGGGCUGAGGCAGUUACAAGCCAGUGUACUUUGUCCACCCUUUUCGUCGUCUGCUAAGAGGACCUUCGAAGCCAUGUGAACAUAUGCUUGUGAUGACAAAGAAGCAUUACAAGAGGAAGAUAGUCUUGUUUCUUAAGUUAACAAGUAGAAGAGAUUUCCAGUAAUGCAUGUCAGACUUGAUGUGAGCAAGAAAUACGUUUUCCUGCCAAGUCACUGGGAUUUCGGUUGGAGUCAGGAGACAGAGGAGAAGGAGGAAGUCAAGAAAGGGACGCUGAAUAUAUUAAAUCUCUCUCCCAUCACGGGCGUCUGGGGCAGAAAAUGACAGAAUAGGAAGCUCCAAGCUCUUGUUCCCCCCAGGGAGCCAUCAAACAACUAAAAACUGGGCUGAAUUAACCUUACAAGAACUCUGGAUAGAAGGCCUAUGCCAACCAAGUGAACACCCCAUCAAGAAAAAGCCACAUCAUAAAGCUAAGAAGAAGCUCCAACAUGCAGUUGACAGACCAUGCUCUUAGAUUAAGGGAUACUUCAGUUCCCAGACAGAUAUGCCACUAACAGACUGUAUGAGCUCAGCAAAUGGGCUCGGCUGAGACACCGCCCCUCCCCAUUGUAAUAAAAGAUUAACA